This 254-nucleotide ribosomal RNA is filed under the name uncultured bacterium. RNAcentral describes it as "partial 16S ribosomal RNA". It matches the Rfam family "Bacterial small subunit ribosomal RNA", at positions 524 to 776 of the family's 1533-position model. The record is from RNAcentral.
UACGUAGGGUGCAAGCGUUGUCCGGAAUUAUUGGGCGUAAAGAGCUCGUAGGCGGUCUGUCGCGUCUGCUGUGAAAACUCGGGGCUUAACCCCGGGCCUGCAGUGGGUACGGGCAGACUAGAGUGCGGUAGGGGAGACUGGAAUUCCUGGUGUAGCGGUGAAAUGCGUAGAUAUCCGGAGGAACACCGGUGGCGAAGGCGGCUUACCUGGACCGACACUGACGCUGAGGCGCGAAAGCUAGGGGAGCAAACGGG